This 551-nucleotide ribosomal RNA is filed under the name uncultured bacterium. RNAcentral describes it as "partial 16S ribosomal RNA". It matches the Rfam family "Bacterial small subunit ribosomal RNA", at positions 355 to 895 of the family's 1533-position model. The record is from RNAcentral.
UGGGGAAUAUUGCACAAUGGGCGCAAGCCUGAUGCAGCCAUGCCGCGUGUGUGAAGAAGGCCUUCGGGUUGUAAAGCACUUUCAGCGAGGAGGAAGGUGGUGGACUUAAUACGUUCAUCAAUUGACGUUACUCGCAGAAGAAGCACCGGCUAACUCCGUGCCAGCAGCCGCGGUAAUACGGAGGGUGCAAGCGUUAAUCGGAAUUACUGGGCGUAAAGCGCACGCAGGCGGUUUGUUAAGUCAGAUGUGAAAUCCCCGGGCUCAACCUGGGAACUGCAUUUGAAACUGGCAAGCUAGAGUCUCGUAGAGGGGGGUAGAAUUCCAGGUGUAGCGGUGAAAUGCGUUGAGAUCUGGAGGAAUACCGGUGGCGAAGGCGGCCCCCUGGACGAAGACUGACGCUCAGGUGCGAAAGGCGUGGGGGAGCAAACAGGAUUAGAUACCCUGGUAGUCCACGCUGUAAACGAUGUCGAUUUUGGAGGUUGUGCCCUUGAGGCGUGGCUUCCGGAGCUAACGCGUUAAAUCGACCGCCUGGGGAGUACGGCCGCAAGGUU